Molecule: ribosomal RNA, 253 nt
Filed under: uncultured bacterium
Lineage: Bacteria
Description: partial 16S ribosomal RNA
Rfam family: Bacterial small subunit ribosomal RNA
Source: RNAcentral
UACGGAAGGGGCAAGCGUUGUUCGGAAUCCUUGGGCGUAAAGGGCGCGUAGGUGGUUCUGUAUGUCUACCGUGAAAGCAUACAGCUCAACUGUAUUUUGUCGGUAGAAACUGCAGGACUUGAGGCUGGGAGGGGCUGGUGGAAUUCCCUGUGUAGCGGUGAAAUGCGUAGAGAUGGGGGAGAACACUCGUGGCGAAGGCGGCCAGCUAGACCAGUUCUGACACUGAGGCGCGACAGCGUGGGGAGCAAACAGG